GGAUUAGGCAUGCAAUCGAACGGUAGGAUACUUUCGGGUAUCUGAGAGUGGCGAACGGGUGAGUAACACGUAGGUGAUCUACCCUCAAAUCGGGGACAACCCAGGGAAACUUGGGCUAAUACCGGAUGCGUGCGGCACCUACAUCUUCCGAUAUUUUUGGUCGAGAGGCCAGGGAUGAUUUGGGAGAUUUAGGUGCCGCAUAAAAGGUGGCUGGCAACAGCUGUUGUUUGAGGAUGAGCCUGCGCCCUAUUAGUUAGUUGGUGAGGUAAUGGCUUACCAAGGCGAUGAUAGGUAGGCGGCCUUAACGGGUGGUCGCCCACACUGGGAUUGAGAUACGGCCCAGACUCCUACGGGAGGCAGCAGUCGAGAAUAGUCUACAAUGGUCGAAAGACUGAUAGUGCGACGCCGCGUGAACGAAGAAGCCCUUCGGGGUGUAAAGUUCUUUUAUAUGUGAGCAAUGGGUUCUAUAUGAAUAGUAUGGGAUCAGAGAUAUUAGCAUAUGAAUAAGCAACGGCUAACUCCGUGCCAGCAGCCGCGGUAAUA
Molecule: ribosomal RNA, 543 nt
Filed under: uncultured bacterium
Lineage: Bacteria
Description: bacterial SSU rRNA
Rfam family: Bacterial small subunit ribosomal RNA
Source: RNAcentral